Molecule: small nuclear RNA, 164 nt
Filed under: Apteryx rowi (Okarito brown kiwi)
Lineage: Eukaryota; Metazoa; Chordata; Aves; Apterygiformes; Apterygidae
Description: U1 spliceosomal RNA (ENSARWG00000004284.1)
Rfam family: U1 spliceosomal RNA
About the family: U1 is a small nuclear RNA (snRNA) component of the spliceosome (involved in pre-mRNA splicing). Its 5' end forms complementary base pairs with the 5' splice junction, thus defining the 5' donor site of an intron. There are significant differences in sequence and secondary structure between metazoan and yeast U1 snRNAs, the latter being much longer (568 nucleotides as compared to 164 nucleotides in human).
Source: RNAcentral
GUACUUACCUGGCAGGGGAGACACCAUGAUCAGGCAGGUGGUUUUCCCAGGGCGAGGCUCAUCCCUUGCACUCCGGGUGUGCUGACCCCUGCGAUUUCCCCAAAUGCGGGAAACUCGACUGCAUAAUUUGUGGUUGUGGGGGACUGCAUUCGCGCUCUCCCCUG